CGAAGACUGACCGUUCGAACAUUAUGUCCGACUUGUUUAGUGAAGACGGCAUUGUUACAGCACAUGACGAAGUUGAUUUCAAUUGUAAAUCUGAAAAUCUGUGUACCAAAUAUCCGGUCUUCGCAGACUACUACAACAAAAGAUUAAAAAAUAGGAUUCUUUAUCAUGUUAACAGACCAUUAAAAAGGCAAUCAAACCCCGAUCGAUUGUGGACCAACAACAAUUGUGAAAGCAUGAAUCACAGAUUCAAAAUUGCUACAGACUGGAAACCUCAGAUUCUCCCAGAACUUCUUACUAAAAUUUAUGACAUCACCAAAUUGCAUUUCAUCGACCUAAAGCGAUCACUAUAUGGCCAAGGGAACUACGAACUUUCGCCCUUAUUUCAAAAACACUAUACUUCUCCGCAUAUCUGGGGAAGCAAGACCGCUGAGGAAAAAGACAAACUAUUCAAGAAAUUGUUAUCAAGUAAGACCUUCACAAAUAAAAUGCUUACCUCAACAAAUGGAAAGCUCACCAUUCCAAAUGUAAAACGUCUGGCACGUAAACCAGGUCAACGACAUAGACCAAAAAGUGCAGCUGCAAAAACAAUGCCACGCUUCAUAAAGUGAUUUUAAUUGACUCAAUGUUUGUAUUAUCAGUGCUGUUUUAUGUAAUAUUUUGCUAUAAUAUCAGUUGUAAAAAUGUGUUGUUUAAAAUGUUCCUUUAUUUUAAUAAAUAUUUUUUCGCGGACUGCGUAAGGUACGCCCGUGCCUUGUGCAGGGUACCUUCGUAGUUUUAAAUUUUCUUUUCAUAUAAAUAUUUUUUCGCGGACUUCGUAAGGUACGCCCGUGCCUUGUAGUUUUAAAUUUUCUUUUCAUAUAAAUAUUUUUUCGCGGACUUCGUAAGGUACGCCCGUGCCUUGUGCAGGGUACCUUCGUAGUUUUAAG
This 926-nucleotide long non-coding RNA is filed under the name Mytilus galloprovincialis (Mediterranean mussel). Lineage: Eukaryota; Metazoa; Mollusca; Bivalvia; Mytilida; Mytilidae. The record is from RNAcentral.